RNAcentral lists this ribosomal RNA (353 nucleotides) under uncultured soil bacterium. RNAcentral's name for it is "bacterial SSU rRNA". It matches the Rfam family "Bacterial small subunit ribosomal RNA", at positions 512 to 863 of the family's 1533-position model. The record is from RNAcentral.
CAGCCGCGGUAAUACAGAGGCCCCAAGCGUUAGGCGGAAUCACUGGGCUUAAAGCGUGUGUAGGCGGAUCGUUAAGUGUCUUGUGAGAUCCCACGGCUCACCCGUGGAACUGCUGGGCAUACUGGCGAUCUUGGGCCAAAUAGGGGCAGUCGGAACAAGCGGUGGAGCGGUGAAAUGCGUAGAUAUCGCUUGGAACGCCGAAGGUGGAAACAGACUGCUGGGGUUGUGCCGACGCUGAGACACGAAAGCCAGGGGAGCAAACGGGAUUAGAUACCCCGGUAGUCCUGGCCCUAAACGAUGUCCACUAGAUUACGGCGCCUUUGACGGCGUCGUGGUCGAAGCAAAAGUGUUAA